RNAcentral lists this ribosomal RNA (254 nucleotides) under uncultured bacterium. Its description in RNAcentral is "partial 16S ribosomal RNA". It matches the Rfam family "Bacterial small subunit ribosomal RNA", at positions 524 to 776 of the family's 1533-position model. The record is from RNAcentral.
UACGGGGGGAGCAAGCGUUGUUCGGAUUUACUGGGCGUAAAGGGCGCGUAGGCGGCCACCGCAAGUCGACUGUGAAAUCUCCGGGCUUAACCCGGAAAGGUCAGCCGAUACUGCGGGGCUAGAGUGCAGAAGGGGCAACUGGAAUUCUCGGUGUAGCGGUGAAAUGCGUAGAUAUCGAGAGGAACACCUGCGGCAAAGGCGGGUUGCUGGGCUGACACUGACGCUGAGGCGCGAAAGCUAGGGGAGCGAACGGG